Molecule: ribosomal RNA, 253 nt
Filed under: uncultured bacterium
Lineage: Bacteria
Description: partial 16S ribosomal RNA
Rfam family: Bacterial small subunit ribosomal RNA
Source: RNAcentral
CACGUAGGAGGCGAGCGUUGUCCGGAAUCAUUGGGCGUAAAGAGCGCGCAGGCGGUCGUACAAGUCGCGUGUGAAAGCCCCCGGCUCAACUGGGGAGGGUCACGCGAUACUGUUCGACUCGAAGGCAGGAGAGGGAAGUGGAAUUCCCGGUGUAGUGGUGAAAUGCGUAGAUAUCGGAAGGAACAUCAGUGGCGAAAGCGACUUCCUGGACCAGUACCGACGUUCAGGCACGAAAGCGUGGGGAGCAAACAGG